Molecule: unclassified non-coding RNA, 482 nt
Filed under: Hevea brasiliensis (rubber tree)
Lineage: Eukaryota; Viridiplantae; Streptophyta; Magnoliopsida; Malpighiales; Euphorbiaceae
Source: RNAcentral
AAAAGUUAUUUGACUUCUUUGUACAUAAAAAGUGACUUUCAACCCAUGGAAUGGGGUUAUCGCCUAUUGUAGAGAGGAGCUUUGAAAAUUGCUGAGGAUUUGGUGCUGCCCAUUGAUGAGAGUCUCUUGUCUAUUGCAGUUUCAAGGAGGGAAAAAAAGCUUCAGCCUAAGGUGAAGAAAAGACAUAAUUAAAGAGGAAGAUUAUUGUCUAUCGAGUUGAAGACACCUUUGGUUGAAGGUAAAACUGUUGUGACAUGUAGAAGUUAGACACACAACAUUAAAUAUGCAAGCUUAAGGCAAUGAAAAGUUGAAAUUGAGGUAAAGCUCUUGAUAUGAAAUUAAUAAUGUUGACGACACGAAGAUUUUUUAAAGGAAGAAGCAAGUUACACGCAAGAAGAAGAUUUGAAGGGUUCAGAUUAUUAUAUUUAUGACUAAAAAUCUUACUUAAUUUAGAAAAUCCUUUCCUAAUUUGAGUGGGAGAA